RNAcentral lists this ribosomal RNA (486 nucleotides) under uncultured bacterium. RNAcentral's name for it is "partial 16S ribosomal RNA". It matches the Rfam family "Bacterial small subunit ribosomal RNA", at positions 28 to 507 of the family's 1533-position model. The record is from RNAcentral.
GAUGAACGCUAGCGGCAGGCUUAACACAUGCAAGUCGAGGGGCAGCGCGGGAUAGCAAUAUCCUGGCGGCGACCGGCGGAAGGGUGCGUAACGCGUGAGCGACAUGCCCGUUGCCCGGGGACAACCGGUGGAAACGCCGACUAAUCCCCGAUGGGAUAUUGUGCCGCAUGGCACGAUAUUGAAAGUUACGGCGGCGACGGAUUGGCUCGCGUCCGAUUAGCUUGUUGGCGGGGUAACGGCCCACCAAGGCUGCGAUCGGUAGGGGUUCUGAGAGGAAGGCCCCCCACAAGGGGACUGAGACACGGCCCAUACUCCUACGGGAGGCAGCAGUGAGGAAUAUUGGACAAUGGGCGGAAGCCUGAACCAGCCAUGCCGCGUGCGGGAAGGAGGCCCUAUGGGCUGUGAACCGCUUUUGCCUGGGGGCAAUAAGGGCGUCGCGCACGUCCGAUGAGAGUACCAGGCGAAUAAGCAUCGGCUAACUCCGUG